Molecule: ribosomal RNA, 479 nt
Filed under: uncultured bacterium
Lineage: Bacteria
Description: bacterial SSU rRNA
Rfam family: Bacterial small subunit ribosomal RNA
Source: RNAcentral
GAUGAACGCUAGCGGCAGGCUUAAUACAUGCAAGUCGAGGGGCAUCAAGGUACACGAAAGUGUAUUGUUGGCGACCGGCGGACGGGUGAGUAAUAGGUAGGUAACCUACCUCAUACUGAGGCAUAGCUGGGAGAAAUUCCAGGUAAUUCCUCAUGAGGUUAUAUGACACAUGUGAUAUAAUCAAAGGUAUCGCAAGGUACUGGUAUGAGAUGGGCUUACUGACCAUUAGCUAGUUGGUGAGAUAAGAGCUCACCAAGGCGAAGAUGGUUAGGGGUUUGAGAGAGAGAUCCCCCAAUUGGAACUGAGAUACGGUCCAGACUCCUACGGGAGCAGCAGUAGGGAAUAUGGGCAAUGGGCGGAAGCCUGACCCAGCCAUGCCGCGUGAAGGAAGACGGCCUUAUGGGUUGUAAACUUCUUUACUAUGCGACUAACUAGAUUUACGAGAUAAUUCUAUAGAAUGUAGCAUAGCAAAAAGCACC